AUGUUGCUCGGGGGGAGACCCUGCUUUCGGGCGGGGUGGCACCCCGGUGGACCAAACCAAACUUGUUUAAUAUGUCGUCUGAGUCGAUUUAAAAAAUUAAUCAAAACUUUCAACAACGGAUCUCUUGGUUCUGGCAUCGAUGAAGAACGCAGCGAAAUGCGAUAAGUAAUGUGAAUUGCAGAAUUCAGUGAAUCAUCGAAUCUUUGAACGCACAUUGCGCCCCGUGGUAUUCCGCGGGGCAUGCCUGUUCGAGCGUCAUUACACCACUCAAGCCUCGCUUGGUAUUGGGCGACGCGGUCAAUCCGCGCGCCUCAAAUCUUCCGGCUGGUUCGAAUCGUCCCUCAGCGUUGUGGAAACUAUUCGCUAAAGGUGCGCGUUUCGGUCACGCCGUUAAACAAACCAAUUCAUUAAAGGUUGACCUCGGAUCAGGUAGGGAUACCCGCUGAACUUAAGCAUAUCAAUAAGCGGAGGAAAAGAAACCAACAGGGAUUGCCCCAGUAACG
RNAcentral lists this ribosomal RNA (503 nucleotides) under uncultured fungus. RNAcentral describes it as "eukaryotic LSU rRNA". The stretch from base 105 to 258 matches the Rfam family "5.8S ribosomal RNA". The record is from RNAcentral. Lineage: Eukaryota; Fungi.